RNAcentral lists this ribosomal RNA (625 nucleotides) under Proserpinaca pectinata. Its description in RNAcentral is "eukaryotic LSU rRNA". The stretch from base 235 to 390 matches the Rfam family "5.8S ribosomal RNA". The record is from RNAcentral. Lineage: Eukaryota; Viridiplantae; Streptophyta; Magnoliopsida; Saxifragales; Haloragaceae.
CCCGCGAACCAAUACUAAUCCCGGGGGCGCCGGGCCGGUGCACUCGUGCGCCUCCCCCGCCCCCGAUCCCGGCCCUGCCUCUCGCUGCCCCGGACCCGUCCGGGCGUCCGCGCGAGGCACCGACGGGGAUAAAAACGAACCCCGGCGCGGACAGCGCCAAGGAAAUCCUAACGAACGGCGUCCCCGCCGCACCGACGCGUGCGGCCGCGGCGAUGCAGAAUUCGAUACCCUAACGACUCUCGGCAACGGAUAUCUCGGCUCUCGCAUCGAUGAAGAACGCAGCGAAAUGCGAUACUUGGUGUGAAUUGCAGAAUCCCGUGAACCAUCGAGUUUUUGAACGCAAGUUGCGCCCGAAGCCAUUCGGCCGAGGGCACGCCUGCCUGGGCGUCACGUACCGCGUUGCUCCCACAACACUCGCCCCUCGACCGGGGGGCGAGCGCGUGCGGAAGCGAAGAUUGGCCUCCCGCGCGCCCGCACGGAUGGCCUAAAAGCGAGCCUCGUGGCGACGAAGGGCCACGACAAGCGGUGGUUGAUCGUUCUCGGCCGUGGUUGUGUCGUGCCCGUCCCCGUCCCGACGAGCUCGGAAUCCCCGACGCGCCGCCCCGGCGGCGCUCGCAUCGCGACC